Folsomia candida is the source of this 1828-nucleotide long non-coding RNA. RefSeq lists it as uncharacterized. Lineage: Eukaryota; Metazoa; Arthropoda; Collembola; Entomobryomorpha; Isotomidae. The transcript has 6 exons. The record is from RefSeq and is a predicted model, not a curated record.
ACAUCUGGUUAUUAAAUAAAUAACCUCGACAGAGUGAAUUCAUUCAAUUUUUAAUUAAAUACGAGCACAAGUUUUCUUUAGACAUAUUUAAAAUGUGAAUUAUUCAAUAUAAUAAAUUGUGCUCUAAACGUCUCCAUGGAGACAAGAUGAAGUUCAAUGUGGAGACUUAUCAUCUCUGGCUGAAUUCGCACAAAUGGAAAUCAUUCAGCACAGUAGUCCCGUCAAGUCAGACAAUUUAUAUUAAUGGAAAUCUAAACAAAUCAAAAUUAAAUUCGAAAGUUAAAGGAUUUGACAGUAAAAUCUGAAAUCAAAAUUUUACCUGGGACAAUGAAACCUUUCACUCUUUCGUGAGUGAGUGAUUACAAAAUUUGUCUGGAGCAUCAUGGCCAAAUGAAUUUAUUUUUCGUAUUUCGAUUGGGAAACUCCGUUCGGAAUGCUAACUACGUCGCGCCCGUUAAUGUUUUCAAAUUUUUCUUUAUUCUUAUUCUCCGUCAAAUAAAAUAUGUUGGUAAUGCGGUGCAAUUGGAGUGAUGUGAUCCUUAUGUAUUUAUUCAUAUGGCAAAAUAAUAAGGGACCAUCCAUAAAUUACGUAACGCAUGAGUGGGGAGUCUAAGAUUCCCACUGAUAUCAUGCCAUGCCUAUGUUAAUGUGGGGUUUUUGUAUUACGUAAUUUAUGGACAGCCAUUUGAUAGAAAUAUCCAAAAAUCUUAGUUUUUUUCAGUAGAUUUUAAUUUGGCAAGGGGCCAUACAUAAAGCGUGUGAUCUAUUUUCGGGAAAGUUUCACCCCUAUCCCUCUGGUCUGACCUAUAUGCCUUCUGUGAUAAUUAAUACGGCAAGGAUGUGAACCCUUAACCCCUUCCCCGCUCAAAUCGAUCACAUGCUUUCUGCACAGUCCCCAAAUGUGGCCAUUAUUUUUAUUCCAACGAGUUGUUUUAUUAACACAUACAUAUUUCUAAAACAUGACAUCUAGAAAAGUAAAAUCAAAUCCGCAAAAAUACUCUUUCUGAAUUUGAACCAUCUAUUCCACACGUUUUAUCCAGUACAAAAUUAAAAUUUUUAACCAUCAAUAAUUUUAAUCUAAAUUGAAAAGAAAAAGUUAAAGCAGAACUCGAUGAUUCAUCCCAAAAAUCAGCACAUUUUUCAUAAAUUAUCCGCUCUUGAAGUUUAUUUCAAAAUUCUGAAAGAUGAAUUUAUAGGACACGUGCAUGGUUCCCAUUUUUUUUAAAUAUACACACUCCAAAUUUUGACCAUUUUUGAAGAAGGGGUUCCCAAGAAGGAAGCAGCUUUCGGAAAAAUUAUAACUCAUCGAAACUAAAGGUCAUCGCCAUUCAACUACGUAAUGAACUUAUUGAUUGGGUGAUUGGCGAGUCGUUACGCUUAAUGUUUCAAAAAAAACAUCUAAUCGCUGUCCUCCUUUUCCUCCGAAGGGUCGCCCGCAAUCAGGUUAAACUUGGACAGUUUAGUAGUCGACGCAACGAAAUUGCGGACAAGUUCCUCCGAUUUGCUGGAAAACUUGACCGUGGAAGCCGUGAGGACAAUAAAAUGGUAGGAUUGGGAGGGAAGGGUUAAUACAUAUAACAUGGGAACAUGAAGCGGACAUUGUCCCUCUGUCCGUCCACACCAUUCCGCGGCCACUGGUCGAAACUCACGUACAUGAAGCUCGGGAAUUGAGACCUCGUCCAUCCCAUCCAUCGCGGCGAUAACUUGUUUAAAUGAGUCGGCCUCGUCCUCCGUCAAUUCGUGGUACGGAUGAAUCCCAUCGUGUGUCAGGAUUUGUAGCGUUUUAAGGCCUGUAAAUAAUAAUAAUUAAGCGAAAGCAGGUAAAUUA